GCCGGGGCCCCGGCGGACAUGAUCUCCAUCCACAUCCGUUGGGGUGACAAGUGGAAGGAGAU
This 62-nucleotide transfer RNA is filed under the name Eutreptiella gymnastica. The record is from RNAcentral. Lineage: Eukaryota; Euglenozoa; Euglenophyceae; Eutreptiales; Eutreptiaceae.